GCAGAUACACUCUUACAUGAAU
RNAcentral lists this microRNA (22 nucleotides) under Ptychodera flava. RNAcentral's name for it is "Pfl-Novel-3_3p* (star (passenger))". The record is from RNAcentral. Lineage: Eukaryota; Metazoa; Hemichordata; Enteropneusta; Ptychoderidae.